This 491-nucleotide ribosomal RNA is filed under the name uncultured bacterium. Its description in RNAcentral is "partial 16S ribosomal RNA". It matches the Rfam family "Bacterial small subunit ribosomal RNA", at positions 29 to 506 of the family's 1533-position model. The record is from RNAcentral.
AGUGAACGCUGGCGGUAGGCCUAACACAUGCAAGUCGAACGGCAGCACAGUAAGAGCUUGCUCUUACGGGUGGCGAGUGGCGGACGGGUGAGGAAUACAUCGGAAUCUACUUUUUCGUGGGGGAUAACGUAGGGAAACUUACGCUAAUACCGCAUACGACCUACGGGUGAAAGCAGGGGAUCUUCGGACCUUGCGCGAUUGAAUGAGCCGAUGUCGGAUUAGCUAGUUGGCGGGGUAAAGGCCCACCAAGGCGACGAUCCGUAGCUGGUCUGAGAGGAUGAUCCGCCACAAGGGACACAGGACGCGACCCGCAUGCCUAGGGGAGGCCGCGGCGGGGAAAUUUGGACAAGGGGGGAAAGCCUAAGCCACCCAAUCCGGGUAGGGGAAAAAGCCCUUCGGGUUGUAAAGCCCUUUUGUUGGGAAAAAAAAGCAGCGGGUUAAUCCCCCGCUUUUUUAGCGUUACCCAAAAAAAAGGCCCCGGGAAAUUGCGG